This 100-nucleotide signal recognition particle RNA is filed under the name Planctomycetota bacterium. RNAcentral describes it as "signal recognition particle sRNA small type". It matches the Rfam family "Bacterial small signal recognition particle RNA". Rfam says of the family: The signal recognition particle (SRP) is a universally conserved ribonucleoprotein involved in the co-translational targeting of proteins to membranes. The record is from RNAcentral. Lineage: Bacteria; Pseudomonadati; Planctomycetota.
GGAUUGGUCCCAGGCAAUGGAGGCGUGUGAACCUGGUCAGAGCUUGACGGCAGCAGCCAUAAGCAUUGUUAUCCAUGUGCCCUGGGGAAACCAGUCCUCC